This 73-nucleotide transfer RNA is filed under the name Candidatus Nasuia deltocephalincola. RNAcentral describes it as "Candidatus Nasuia deltocephalinicola tRNA-Val". It matches the Rfam family "tRNA". From Rfam's summary of the family: Transfer RNA (tRNA) molecules are approximately 80 nucleotides in length. Their secondary structure includes four short double-helical elements and three loops (D, anti-codon, and T loops). Lineage: Bacteria; Pseudomonadati; Pseudomonadota; Betaproteobacteria. The record is from RNAcentral.
AGGCUUGUAACUCAGUGGUUAGAGUAUCAUUUUGACUCAAUGAAUGUCAUUGGUUCGAUCCCAAUCUAGCCUA